CUAUAGCUAUUGCUUCCUCCACCAUGACUUGAUAUUUUCUUGUCCUUGAGAACUAUUUUGGUGGUUAUGUUGCUUUUAUCAAUGUUGUUGUUGAUGUUCUUGACUGUGUCUUCAUCAGUGGAAUGGACAUGCCCACUCUCUAGUUUGUUAGUUUGCAAGAUCAGUACGAGGAGAAAGAUAACCACCAAUGACGAACUCGUCUUCAUUUUUCUUGAUUUUCCACAAAGUUUGUAUUGUUUUCUUUGAUUUGAUAUGACAGCUUCUUCGAUUUGCCACCAAUGACGAACUUGUCUUCAUUUUUCUUGAUUUUCCACAAAGUUUGUAUUGUUUUC
Molecule: long non-coding RNA, 332 nt
Filed under: Brassica napus (rape)
Lineage: Eukaryota; Viridiplantae; Streptophyta; Magnoliopsida; Brassicales; Brassicaceae
Description: long non-coding RNA (BNAP_LNC001468)
Source: RNAcentral